This 133-nucleotide non-coding RNA is filed under the name Paracidovorax citrulli. RNAcentral describes it as "Acidovorax citrulli Glycine sequence". It matches the Rfam family "Glycine riboswitch aptamer". Rfam says of the family: This family represents the bacterial glycine riboswitch. Glycine riboswitches usually consist of two metabolite-binding aptamers domains with similar structures in tandem. Lineage: Bacteria; Pseudomonadati; Pseudomonadota; Betaproteobacteria; Burkholderiales; Comamonadaceae. The record is from RNAcentral.
GUUUCCCCGGCUGGAGAGAGGCCUGCCUUGGCUUGGCAGGCCCACCGAAGGAGCAAGCCCCGCAACGCACCGCCCCCGUGGCAGCGCGCACGGCGUGGUGAAUCUCUCAGGUAAAGCGGACAGCGGGCACAGG